CAGCCGCGCGGUAAUACGGAGGGGGCUAGCGUUGUUCGGAAUUACUGGGCGUAAAACGCACGUAGGCGGCUGUGUAAGUCAGAGGUGAAAGCCCGGGGCUCAACCCCGGAAUAGCCUUUGAGACUGCAUAGCUUGAACACAGGAGAGGUGAGUGGAAUUCCGAGUGUAGAGGUGAAAUUCGUAGAUAUUCGGAAGAACACCAGUGGCGAAGGCGGCUCACUGGACCGUUGUUGACGCUGAGGUGCGAAAGCGUGGGGAGCAAACAGGAUUAGAGACCCCAGUAGUCCCUGUCUCUUAUACA
This 301-nucleotide ribosomal RNA is filed under the name uncultured bacterium. RNAcentral's name for it is "partial 16S ribosomal RNA". It matches the Rfam family "Bacterial small subunit ribosomal RNA", at positions 509 to 808 of the family's 1533-position model. The record is from RNAcentral.